Molecule: long non-coding RNA, 1227 nt
Filed under: Anas platyrhynchos platyrhynchos (common mallard)
Lineage: Eukaryota; Metazoa; Chordata; Aves; Anseriformes; Anatidae
Description: lncRNA (ENSAPLG00000028307.1)
Source: RNAcentral
CUCGAUGGGCAGCGGCAAUUUGAUAAAUCUCCGUGUAAGAGUGCGUCUCAGCAGGCGGGGCUCCAAGCUGAACUACAGCGUGCAAACAGCCAGGAAAAGAGCAGAGAGAGCCGAAUAACCCCACGAGGUCCCUUUCGUGGAUGGGCUAGCUACUCACUUCUCAGCCGAGGCACGAGGCAGCGAGACAGAGCUCCUUCAUCUUUUAUUCUGAUUGAUCCGGGUUCAUCUUCCCCAGUAACACUAAAGCAAUCUGGAGAGGAAACCAGAGUUUUGUCCAGCCUCCUUUACUAUUUGUGUCACAAGGGAUGCCGGGCAAGGCCAAUGCGCGUCCCUCUCCAGGUGAAGCAGUGCAGUGCUGGACAGGCUCUCGGCUGUCUCGGUGUCCUUGUGCCCUUAUUGCCAGUCCCCACCAGCCCAGGGCUGCUCCACUUCCUCUGCCAGCGUCCCAGGAGGGAGGAUGAAAAUAUCCGGGGAUGCCCAGGGGACGACGAGUUGCCGGUGAGUGACAGACCUGUGCCAUUCUCUAUAACAUCUGCGAUUUCACCUGCUUCUUUCCUUAAACCAUUAUUGAACACGCUCGUGCAAAAUCCUGUGCUGUUUCCCAGUUAACCCAUUAUGAUUUCUCCUCCAUCGUUCCCAGCAUCAUUUCCCCGUGAGCUCUGUGUGCCUUAAAUCCAGGCUGAGCUUGCAGGGGCUGCCCAGCGCCUGGCUGGGGCUCGCUUCAGCCAUACCAGCAGCAUCCCAGGAAACCCUUUUAGUUUCAGGGUGUGCCCUUUGGAUCUUAAAAGGCUGAAGUGAAAGCUGGCAGCUUGUGAGAAGCACAAUGCCACGGAGGUGGAAACGCUUGGAGAGAUGCUCACGAUCUGGCCUGGAUCAGGAGCGAGACCAGAGGCUCAAACCCAAAUGUUGAUGGGAAUGGGGCUGGGCCCUGCUGAGUGGUUCAUAAGGCUUGGGGAAAGCUCCACUUUCCUAGAAGUUGGGAAAAACAAAGGAAAUGCUUAGUUCUGUGUCCUGACUUGGAUUUUUAGCUGCCAUGAAGUCCUUGUGCCCGUUGCAGUGGUGCUUUCCCCGGUGCCCUCCCAGCCUUGGCGCUUCUUGCCUCCCACCAGCCAAAAUCUGGGUGCUGCAGGGAAAGGAUGGGAAGAGGUUUACUGAGCACUGAAUAGCAAAAUCAAAGGAAUUAAUUACUCUUUAUAAAUAAACAGAAAAUAUUUAUGAUGGCUUGCA